CUAGUGGCGGACGGGUGAGUAACACGUGAGUAACCAACCUUAUACACAGGAAUAACACUGGGAAACGAGUGCUAAUACCGGAUAGUAUUCUUGAGAGGCAUCUUUUAAGAAUGAAAGAUUUAUCGGUAUAAGACGGGCUCGCGUCCGAUUAGCUAGUUGGUGAGGGCAACGGCCCACCAAGGCAACGAUCGGUAGCCGGACUGAGAGGUUGACCGGCCACAUUGGGACUGAGAACGGCCCAGACUCCUACGGGAGGCAGCAGUGGGGAAUAUUGGGCAAUGGAGGCAACUCUGACCCAACAAUACCGCGUGAAGGAAGAAGGCCUUCGGGUUGUAAACUUCUUUAGGCAGGAAGAAAAAAAAUGACAUUACCUGCAGAAUAAGCCACGGCUAACUACGUGCCAGCAGCCGCGGUAAUACGUAGGUGGCGAGCGUUAUCCGGAAUUACUGGGUGUAAAGGGCGCGUAAGCGGGCGUGCAAGUAGAUGUGAAA
RNAcentral lists this ribosomal RNA (491 nucleotides) under uncultured Bacillota bacterium. RNAcentral's name for it is "bacterial SSU rRNA". It matches the Rfam family "Bacterial small subunit ribosomal RNA", at positions 92 to 598 of the family's 1533-position model. Lineage: Bacteria; Bacillati; Bacillota. The record is from RNAcentral.